RNAcentral lists this ribosomal RNA (406 nucleotides) under uncultured bacterium. Its description in RNAcentral is "partial 16S ribosomal RNA". It matches the Rfam family "Bacterial small subunit ribosomal RNA", at positions 29 to 526 of the family's 1533-position model. The record is from RNAcentral.
AGUGAACGCUGGCGGUAGGCCUAACACAUGCAAGUCGAACGAGUGGCGGACGGGUUAGGUAUACAUCUGAAUGUACUCUGUCGUUGGGGAUAACGUAGGGAAACUUACGCUACUAACGUAUUCGAUUGCAUGAGCCGAUGUCGGAUUGGCUAGUUGGCGGGGUAAAGGCACACCAAGGCGACGAUCCGUAGCUGGUAUGAGAGGAUGAUCAGCCACACUGGAACUGAGACACGGUCCAGACUCCUACGGGAGGCAGCAGUGGGGAAUAUUGGACAAUGGGCGCAAGCCUGAUCCAGCCAUACCGCGUGGGUGAAGAAGGCCUUCGGGUUGUAAAGCCCUUUUGUUGGGAAAGCGGUACCCAAAGAAUAAGCACCGGCUAACUUCGUGCCAGCAGCCGCGGUAAUAC